This 492-nucleotide ribosomal RNA is filed under the name uncultured bacterium. RNAcentral's name for it is "partial 16S ribosomal RNA". It matches the Rfam family "Bacterial small subunit ribosomal RNA", at positions 29 to 507 of the family's 1533-position model. The record is from RNAcentral.
AGUGAACGCUGGCGGUAGGCCUAACACAUGCAAGUCGAACGGCAGCACAGUAAGAACUUGCUCUUACGGGUGGCGAGUGGCGGACGGGUGAGGAAUACAUCGGAAUCUACUUUUUCGUGGGGGAUAACGUAGGGAAACUUACGCUAAUACCGCAUACGACCUACGGGUGAAAGCAGGGGAUCUUCGGACCUUGCGCGAUUGAAUGAGCCGAUGUCGGAUUAGCUAGUUGGCGGGGUAAAGGCCCACCAAGGCGACGAUCCGUAGCUGGUCUGAGAGGAUGAUCAGCCACACUGGAACUGAGACACGGUCCAGACUCCUAAGGGAGGCAGCAGUGGGGAAUAUUGGACAAAGGGCGCAAGCCUGAUCCAGCCAUACCGCGUGGGUGAAGAAGGCCUUCGGGUUGUAAAGCCCUUUUGUUGGGAAAGAAAAGCAGCAGGUUAAUACCCCGCUGUUCUGACGGUACCCAAAGAAUAAGCACCGGCUAACUUCGUG